CGGGGUUUAGCGCAGUUUGGUAGCGCACUUGGUUUGGGACCAAGGGGCCGGGGGUUCGAAUCCCUCAACCCCGACCA
RNAcentral lists this transfer RNA (77 nucleotides) under Oscillospiraceae bacterium. RNAcentral describes it as "tRNA-Pro". It matches the Rfam family "tRNA". Rfam says of the family: Transfer RNA (tRNA) molecules are approximately 80 nucleotides in length. Their secondary structure includes four short double-helical elements and three loops (D, anti-codon, and T loops). The record is from RNAcentral. Lineage: Bacteria; Bacillati; Bacillota; Clostridia; Eubacteriales; Oscillospiraceae.